This 5798-nucleotide long non-coding RNA is filed under the name Olea europaea subsp. europaea. Lineage: Eukaryota; Viridiplantae; Streptophyta; Magnoliopsida; Lamiales; Oleaceae. The record is from RNAcentral.
CCACACUCCACACACAAACAAACAUUUCGAAGCAGUCCAUUUUCUUUUUCAUUUUUCACACACACUUUUCGUACAUAUAGCUAAAAUAAACAUCUUACAUAUACCAUAACUCAUAAUUCAUCCUUAAAUCACAAGUUUUCAUUUCAUCAAACAAUUUUCAGCAGCUUUUCUCAUGGAGAUUUUCUGGUUUUUCAAAAUUUUCUUGACUUUCACCUUCUUUUUCUUGAUGGGAGAUCCAUUUUUCUCUCAUUCAUCUUCUUUGCCCGAGGGAAUCGCGAAGUCUGCAGCUGUACACCGCAAUUACACCGCCAUAUCAGAGUUUCGAGUACUCAACAGAAAACCUUUGAAGGAUUGCCCCGACCUGAACCCGUAUUUGCAAAUAAACACAAGCUCCAUUGCCAAGCUUUCUGAUGAUGGAUAUAUAACAGUAAAUGUUACAGGAGUUUUACUUCCUUCGGCUACUGAUUGGGUCGCAAUGAUUUCCCCAUCUCAUGCCGUGUAAGAUGAUUAUUUUCGUAUCUAAAUAAUCUGAUUCUACGCUUGAAAAAACGGUAAAUUUAAUCUGAUCUUGCAGUGUAACAGCCUGUUUAGAAAACUCAAUUCUUUAUAAGGAGACAGGAGAUUUUAGUAGUCUUCCUCUUCUCUGCCAUUAUCCUGUUAAGGUAAGUGCAUUCUACUUUUGCAAAACGUUUGAAGGAUUAUAAUAAUCACAGUUUAAUUAGCCUUGAGAUUAUUUUAUAUUUUACUGCGCGCAGCCAUUCUUUUAAUUUAUUUCUUGACAUGCCUGGUUCAUAAUGAUCAGAAAUCUGUUUAAGUAUCAAAUAAUUCAGAAACUGAGAGUUUCUUGAAAAAUUUGUCCUUGAUCCGAUAUUUACUCGACAUAGUAACAACAACAAUAACAAACUAAUGUCGAUCGACUUGGGUUAUUGCUAAAAUUUGCAGGCUCAAUAUUUAAGAAGUGAUCCAGAUUACUUAAGUUGCAAGAAGAAGGAAUGCAAGAAAAAAGUGAAUGGAAAAUGCGUGUUGAGAACAUGUAGUGCGUCUUUGUCAUUUCAUGUCAUUAAUAUUCGAACUGAUAUCGAAUUUGUGCUGUUUGCUGGUGGAUUUGUUGCGCCUUGCAUUUUGAGAAGAUCACAGCCACUCAGAUUUGCCAAUCCAAACAAGCCUUUAUAUGGACAUAUAUCGAGUACCGAUUCAACAGCAAAAUCGGUAUGGAAUGCCAUCUCUGAUCUCCAAUAUCCAUGCAUGUGGUUGAGAAUUAAUUAUUUUAUUUUUAUUUACAACAUUUUAGAGGAAAUAGUUCGACGAUUUUUUAUUUAUUUAUUUUUGAUAAUAUGUUAUUAAAAAGCGGAAGUUAUGAAUUUCAUAAAAUGUGUGUGACUGAAAAUUAUUUGAACGAAAAAAGUUUAAGAAAAAGUUGUAUCAAACAUGCCUUUAUUUAACCCCUAUUUGGUAUAGCUAAAAAUUAAUUUUUUGUAAAUUUUAAUAAAAGUUGAUGAAAUGUAUUGAAAAGUUUGAAUCCCUUAAAUUAUUUAAUUAAAAUAAAAUUUUAAUUUUCACCAUAAUUUUUCAAUUCCUUACUCCUGUAAGAAAUGGCACAAGGCUUUGUUGACUUUGCUAUCAUUAAUUGCCUUGUCCGCCCGGCAAGAUUAUCGUUCACAAGCAUCUGCAAUUUCCUCUUUUUAAUAAAUUAAACAGCUGUGAUGGGAUGGCAACAUAUUUACCUUCUUUAUGGGAUUAAAAUCAAAAUUUAUUGAUAAAAAUUAAUAAAAUGUAUGAUUGAAAAGUUGUGAAUCCUAUAAAAUAUAUUAUUAAAUCUAAUUAUUAAUUAUAAUUAUAAUUAUAAUUUUAAAUCCUAAUGAAUGGGGACUUAAAGAUCUACCACCAACUUAACUGAGCAAUUACUGUUGUGCAGAACAAAUAUUGAAUAUUCUCACCUUUUACUGAAUUAAGUAAUUAAUUCAGUGUACUCGUGGGAUUAAAAAGUCAGCAGCAGUUGACUGCAAAAUUUUGAGGUGUGAAAGAAGAAAAAACGUAGCAGUGCUUUCAAACGUAGGGCCACAUAAUAUUAGUGCAUGGGAAGUGAUAAAUAAUUAUAUAUUUAAUUAGGUAUAUUUUUUAUGCUGAUGAGAUUAGACAUUAUAAAGAAUAGAUUUUGUAAUGUUUUUUCCCAAAGUUUGAUGCAUUAUAAUUUUGACGUGUCAAAAUUUUAGUGAGACGCAUUUUUGCCUUUAAAAAAAACAACGAAAGAGACAACAAGAUAGAGCAACAAAUGUAGACUCGUCGUGAACGCAUUAACACCUGUAUUUGAUAUGAAUAUAUUUGGUAAGAUUUGAUAUGAAUAUAUGGAGAAUAUAAUGGAUUUUUCAAAAUUGUGAUAAUUGCAGAUGAGAGUAACAUGGGUGAGUGGAAACCAACAGCCUCAACAUGUUCAAUUUGGAAAUGGGAAAUCAGUUACCUCACUUGUUUCUACUUUUUCACAAAGUGAUAUGUGCAACAGUAAGUUUCUUAUUCUCCUCGUGCUUUUGCUUAAAGUAGCUUAAAACCGUAUAUCUUUGAGACUUUUAUAAACAACCAAAUGACUUGAUUGAACAUCGUUUUGUCUACCCAUUUGAGAAGACUAAUGUUAUUCGGCACAACUAAUGUUAUAGUUUUUUCCAUGAAUUCUCGAAGGGAUUGGCAUCUUCAAUCUAGAUUAAUGUUUUAUUCUAAAAUAUUGUUUCCUUUUUAUCGAAAAUAAGCUUCCUACUUACAAAGUCCUGCCAAGGAUUUUGGGUGGCAUGACCCUGGCUACAUUCAUUCAGCUGUAAUGACAGGACUCAACCCUUCAACCAAGUACCUCUACAGAUAUGGAAGGUAAAUUUUUGUUUCCAAGUGAAAAAUAAGAAGAGGGAAAAAGAAAGCCGAAAACAUUCUGCAGUAGGAAAAUAUUUUUAAUUUCGACUGGUAAAAAAUCGAAAAACUUAUUGCAUAUACUCAGACUUACAUGUAUUAUACAUAAUUUGAACAUAUAAUACAGUGAUUCAAGUGGAUGGAGUAAUUGGACAACAUUCAAAACACCGCCUGCUGGUGGAUCAGAUGAGCUUAAAUUUCUUGCAUUUGGUGACAUGGGCAAGGCUUCUCGUGAUGCUUCUACUGAACACUAUAUACAGGUAAUAUAUAAGUGUGGAUAUGUCUGUUACAGAAAAUAUGAAUACAAUGCAAUUAUGGCUAAAAAGGGCCUUAUUUUUGGGGAUAAAUAUAGCCAGGAUCACUAUCAGUCAUCGAAGCUAUGGCCGACGAACUAUCCUCCAGUGGAGUCGACGCAAUAUAUCAUAUUGGAGACAUAAGCUAUGCCACAGGUUUUCUAGUAGAAUGGGACUUUUUCCUUCACCAAAUUAAUCCAGUGGCCUCUAAAGUUUCUUACAUGACUGCAAUUGGGAAUCAUGAGAGGUAUGCUGUUCGGUUCAAAAUUGUGUAACUGUCACAUAUUUAAUGAGAAAAUGGUUCGACGCUGUUUAAGCUUUUAGACAAACUGAUAAAAAUUCGAGGUAUUAUCUUUCAGGGAUUUUGGAGACUCCGGAUCGGUUUAUUUUACUCCGGACUCUGGUGGUGAGUGUGGGGUACCUUAUGAGACAUAUUUUCCAAUGCCAGCAGUUGCAAAGGAUAAGCCAUGGUAUUCUAUAGAACAAGGGAGUGUUCACUUUACAGUAAUUUCAACAGAGCAUAAUUGGACACAAAACUCAGAACAGGUACAUAAAUAACCUUCUUUUACACUGUUUUGUGCCUCGUUUAGCAUAGUAGGUAAUGUAAUACUAGAAAGUAGAGUAAUGUCUAAUAAGUUUAUGUUGUCUAAUACCAGGUGUAUGUUUGAUAUUGAUUUUUCUCCUCAAAACAUUCAUUUUUUGACCAUUAUUUCACUAUUUCAGCCGUCAUUUUUGACUUCUUCUCUCACAAAUUAGACACAUUUUUCUCUCUAACAGUCAAAAAAUCAAUUUUCAAAAUCACUAUCGAACAAGCCCCAGCAACAAAACUUAGCCUUACAUCUUUUCCGUCUCAUGGAACAAAAUAAUAAUUGUUGCACUUAACUUCAUUGUGUCCUUGCACAGUAUGAAUGGAUGAAGAAGGACAUGGCUUCAGUUGAUCGAUCAAGAACUCCAUGGUUAAUAUUCACGGGGUAAUUUUAUAUUUUCAAGGCCACGGCCAAUAUCUUUUUAUUGCAUUUCGAUUAGCCAACUUUUAACUAAAACUCUGCUUGUCUUCUUUCAUGAGUAGGCUAGAUGUUUAAUCAACAAUAAACUAAAUGUUUUGCGUUUUUCCUAAACAAAUUUGGAUCAGUAACAAAUUAUCAUGAAUGAAAAUUCUUGUCAGUGACCACCGACAGUAGGUCGAUAUGUGAUUUAGAUGGAAUUAUCGACAAUGAUGUUGUUGGUGAUUGUUAAUAUAUUGUCAUUAGUGAUUGUCAAUGGACCGCUUAAUUCUUGAGUCGACUCUGAUUUAAAAGAUGCACGAAUAUGUUUUUUUUACUGCUCCGUUCAUUUCAUUGCCACAUUACUUAAAUCCAAUGCCAGUAACAGAAACAUGUACAAAUAAUCAAUUCAUUAAUUUUACAUGUCAAUAAAAUUAAUGAAUAUUGCGAAUUGACUACAGGCACAGGCCCAUGUAUUCCUCCAACGACGGAAACAUUAUUUUGCCAAGCGUCGACGACAAAUUCGUCCAAGCCGUGGAGCCAUUGCUACUAGCCAAUAAGGUAAAAGUUUCCAUCGAGAACACAAAUUUUAGUAAGUACUGGCUUCGUGAUUAAUUGUACUCACUAACAUAUAAAUGGAUCUACAGGUUGAUCUUGUUCUAUUUGGACACGUUCACAACUACGAAAGAACAUGUGCCGUUUAUAAGCAACAAUGCAAGGCAAUGCCAAAGAAAGAAAGAAAUGGAAUUGAUACAUAUGAUAAUACAAAGUAUAGUGCACCAGUUCAUGCUGUUAUUGGAAUGGCUGGCUUUAGCUUGGAUAAGUUCUCCAACAAGGUAAGUAGUUACAACCUCAAGCCCUCAUAGAGACUCGUCCCCCCACUCUCAUCGUCGUCUCAAGUAUCAAACUUGGAUCCCCUGUCAAUUUUUCUUGACCUUUGGGUUUCAAAUUCAAUUUUGUAGCUUGAGAUUUCUCUAUACGAUUUAUUAAAGAUGAUCUUAAAAGAAAUCCAUGUCUUGGGACACAAAUUCUACCGGACGUUAACUCAAAAAGAAAAAAAUGUCAAGAAAGAUAUACAAAUACUCGAGCCUACAAUGAGAAUCACAGUUGCAAUUUUUCAUGGAAAAUAGUAACACAUACUAGAAUCAUGGGGACGUUUUUUUGUUCGUGAUGGACAGGGGAAGCCAUGGAGUUUGGUUAGGAUUUCCGAGUUUGGAUACACAAGAGUGCAUGCAACAAAGAAAGAGCUAAAAGUUGAGGUCAGUUCAUGAAUCUUUAUCUGCUUUAAUUUUAAAAUUGGGUGAUGCAAUAAGAACAUCAAAUUGAGUUAAUUUCUUGACAUGUUUAUAUCAUUUUGCAGUAUGUAAAUUCAAAUACAAGAAACGUUGAAGAUAGCUUCCGAAUCAUCAAAAGUUGAAAAAUGAAAAAUAUAUAGGCAGGGAGAUUUGCUUUAUAAAUAUAUUGUAAUGAAAGAACAUUGGAAAUCUUUUAAGAGCACUUGUAUUUUCUAAAUAGCUUCUCUGAUUUUUAUUUUUGAAUCUAAACUGUCUUGGUCAGUUGAUUUCAUCCCAGUUUUUGAAGAACUGUUUUUAGACUAUGACCAAACCAGUUCCCAAGCUGACAUUUUUUC